AUUAGCUCAGUUGGUAGAGCAUUUGACUUUUAAUCAAAGGGUCGAAGGUUCGAGUCCUUCAUG
This 63-nucleotide transfer RNA is filed under the name Gemella sanguinis. It matches the Rfam family "tRNA", at positions 6 to 65 of the family's 71-position model. From Rfam's summary of the family: Transfer RNA (tRNA) molecules are approximately 80 nucleotides in length. RNAcentral also lists the same sequence under 2 other names. Lineage: Bacteria; Bacillati; Bacillota; Bacilli; Caryophanales; Gemellaceae. The record is from RNAcentral.